Molecule: ribosomal RNA, 308 nt
Filed under: uncultured bacterium
Lineage: Bacteria
Description: partial 16S ribosomal RNA
Rfam family: Bacterial small subunit ribosomal RNA
Source: RNAcentral
GAGACAGCAGCAGCCGCGGUAAUACGUAGGGUGCAAGCGUUGUCCGGAAUUAUUGGGCGUAAAGAGCUCGUAGGCGGCUUGUCGCGUCGGCUGUGAAAACCUGGGGCUCAACCCCGGGCCUGCAGCCGAUACGGGCAAGCUAGAAUUCGGUAGGGGAGACUGGAAUUCCUGGUGUAGCGGUGAAAUGCGCAGAUAUCAGGAGGAACACCGGUGGCGAAGGCGGGUCUCUGGGCCGAUAUUGACGCUGAGGAGCGAAAGCGUGGGGAGCAAACAGGAUUAGAUACCCCCGUAGUCCCUGUCUCUUAUAU